AUGACAUUUGAAGGGCUUGAGGCUGUGGAGGAGUUCUACAAGUCGUAUGCACAUCAUGUGGGUUUUGGAGUUCGUGUCGGACAGCAGAAAAAGUUGAACAAAGAAGUGGUUCGGACAAAGCGUUUCAUGUGCAGCAGGGAAGGAUUUAGGACUGAGAAGAACAAGGAGAUUAAAGACCCAUCAAACCAAUCAAAGAAAAGCCGUAAGAAUACAACCACAUGA
This 222-nucleotide ribosomal RNA is filed under the name Triticum aestivum (bread wheat). Its description in RNAcentral is "partial small subunit ribosomal RNA". The record is from RNAcentral. Lineage: Eukaryota; Viridiplantae; Streptophyta; Magnoliopsida; Poales; Poaceae.